CAUUGAAACACCGGUUCUCGUACGAUCAUCGAAGUUAAACAACGUCGAGCCUGAUCAGUACUUAGAUGGGUGACCGCUUGGGACUACCAGGUACUGUAAG
Molecule: non-coding RNA, 100 nt
Organism: Acanthosepion pharaonis
Lineage: Eukaryota; Metazoa; Mollusca; Cephalopoda; Sepiida; Sepiidae
Source: the annotation of a GenBank genome assembly